Molecule: transfer RNA, 68 nt
Filed under: uncultured Butyrivibrio sp.
Lineage: Bacteria; Bacillati; Bacillota; Clostridia; Lachnospirales; Lachnospiraceae
Rfam family: tRNA
About the family: Transfer RNA (tRNA) molecules are approximately 80 nucleotides in length. Their secondary structure includes four short double-helical elements and three loops (D, anti-codon, and T loops).
Source: RNAcentral
GCGAGUUAGCCAAGUGGUAAGGCGUAGGUCUGCAACACCUUGAUCGCCGGUUCAAAUCCGGCACUCGC